UACGUAGGGUGCAAGCGUUGUCCGGAAUUAUUGGGCGUAAAGAGCUCGUAGGCGGUCUGUUGCGUCGCUGUGAAAACCCGGGGCUCAACCCCGGGCCUGCAGCCGAUACGGGCAGACUAGAGUUCGGCAGGGGAGACUGGAAUUGCAGGUGUAGCGGUGAAAUGCGUAGAUAUCUGCAGGAACACCCGUGGCGAAAGCGGCGCGCUGGACCACUACUGACGCUGAGGAACGAAAGCUAGGGGAGCAAACAGG
This 252-nucleotide ribosomal RNA is filed under the name uncultured bacterium. RNAcentral describes it as "partial 16S ribosomal RNA". It matches the Rfam family "Bacterial small subunit ribosomal RNA", at positions 524 to 776 of the family's 1533-position model. The record is from RNAcentral.